Molecule: transfer RNA, 76 nt
Filed under: Natronosporangium hydrolyticum
Lineage: Bacteria; Bacillati; Actinomycetota; Actinomycetes; Micromonosporales; Micromonosporaceae
Description: Micromonosporaceae bacterium DSM 106523 tRNA-Thr
Rfam family: tRNA
About the family: Transfer RNA (tRNA) molecules are approximately 80 nucleotides in length.
Source: RNAcentral
GCCGACGUAGCUCAAUUGGCAGAGCAGCUGCCUUGUAAGCCGCAGGUUAGGGGUUCGAGUCCCCUCGUCGGCUCCA